GGCGGACGGCUGAGUAACACGUAGGGACCUGCCCCAUACUGGAGCAUAGCUGACCGAAAGGUUGGGUAAUACUCCAUGAUCUGUGUCGUAAGACAUUGUAAAAGCCUUAACCGGCUGGUAAGGGAUGGACCUGCGUCCUAUCAGAUAGUUGGUGAGGUAAUGGCUCACCUAGUCUACGACGGGUAGCUGGCCUGAGAGGGUGGUCAGCCAGAAGAGCACUGAGACACGGGCUCUACUCCUACGGGAGGCAGCAAUCAGGAAUAGUCGGCAAUGGGCGAAAGCCUGACCGCGCCACGCCGCGUGUAGGAUGAAGUUCUCAACGAGCGUAAACUACUGUGGUAAGGGAAGAAGAUCAAGUUUACUUGAUUUGACGGUACCUUAUUAGAAAGAAGCCGCUAACUGCGUGCCAGAAGCGUCGGUAAUACGUGGGCUUCAAGCGUUAUCCGGUGUCAUUGGGCGUAAAGUGUCGUGUAGGCGGUUUAACAAGUUCCUAUUUAAAACUCAAGGCUUAACUUUGAAUCAGAUAGGAAUACUGUUAUAACUAGAUUUUACUCAUGGGAGAUUGGAACAGAAUGAGGAGCAGUGAAAUGCGUUGAUACAUUUUGGAACAUCAGUGGCGAAGGCGAAUCUCUGGGAGUUUAAUGACGCUGAGACACGAAAGCUAGGGGAGCGAAGCAGAUUAGAGACCUGCGUAGUCCUAGCCCUAAACCAUGCUUGCUAGCUGCAUUGAAUAGAUUUAUCUACUCGGUGUGGCGAAGCUAACGCGUUAAGCAAGCCGCCUGGGGAGUACAGUCGCAAGGCUAAAACUCAAAGGAAUUGGCGGGGAGGCACACAACCAGUGGAACAUGUUGUUCAAUUCGAAACGAACCGAAGAACCUCGCCAAGGUUUGACAUCUAGGAGACAGUUUGGUGAAAGCCAGACAUUCCGCAAGGACUGCUAGACAGGUGCUGCAUGGCUGUCGUCAGCUCGUUCCGUGAGGAGUACCCUUAAGUGGGACAACGAGCGCAACCCCCACUCUGUGUUACAAGUAUCACAGGGGACUGCUCCACCUUUGGUGGAGAGGAAGGAGGGGCAGACGUCAAGUCAGCAUGGCCCUUAUGCCUUGGGCUACAAACAUGUUACAAUGAACAGCAACAAUGAGCUUUGCCACUCAGCAAUGGGGAGCCAAUCUCAUAAAUCUGUUCUCAGUGGGGAUUGAGGUCUGCAACUCGACCUCAUGAACUCGGAAUUGGUAGUAAUCGCGGAUCAGUCAUGCCGCGGUGAAUGCGUUCUUGCCUCUUGCACACACCGCCCGUCAAGCCAACAAAGUUGGCGCUAUUUGAACCUCGACUAUGUCGUGGGAGAAUGGUGUCGGCGAUGGGGGUUAAGUCGUAACAAGGUA
RNAcentral lists this ribosomal RNA (1382 nucleotides) under metagenome. RNAcentral's name for it is "bacterial SSU rRNA". It matches the Rfam family "Bacterial small subunit ribosomal RNA". The record is from RNAcentral.